CAGCAGCCGCGGUAAUACGAAGGGGGCUAGCGUUGUUCGGAUUUACUGGGCGUAAAGGGCGCGUAGGCGGACUGAUAAGUCAGGGGUGAAAUCCCAAGGCUCAACCUUGGAACUGCCUUUGAUACUGUUUGUCUUGAGUUCGAGAGAGGUAAGUGGAACUGCGAGUGUAGAGGUGAAAUUCGUAGAUAUUCGCAAGAACACCAGUAGCGAAGGCGGCUUACUGGCUCGAUACUGACGCUGAGGCGCGAAAGCGUGGGGAGCAAACAGGAUUAGAUACCCCAGUAGUCCCUGUCUCUUAUAC
This 301-nucleotide ribosomal RNA is filed under the name uncultured bacterium. RNAcentral describes it as "partial 16S ribosomal RNA". It matches the Rfam family "Bacterial small subunit ribosomal RNA", at positions 509 to 807 of the family's 1533-position model. The record is from RNAcentral.